RNAcentral lists this ribosomal RNA (253 nucleotides) under uncultured bacterium. RNAcentral describes it as "partial 16S ribosomal RNA". It matches the Rfam family "Bacterial small subunit ribosomal RNA", at positions 524 to 776 of the family's 1533-position model. The record is from RNAcentral.
UACGUAGGUGGCGAGCGUUGUCCGGAAUCACUGGGCGUAAAGGGCGCGUAGGCGGCAAUACAAGUCGCAUGUGAAAGACCAGGGCUCAACUCUGGGGUGUCAUGCGAAACUGUAUAGCUUGAGUGCAGUAGAGGAAAGCGGAAUUCCUGGUGUAGCGGUAAAAUGCGUAGAGAUCAGGAGGAACACCGGUGGCGAAGGCGGCUUUCUGGGCUGCAACUGACGCUGAGGCGCGAAAGCGUGGGGAGCAAACAGG